Molecule: long non-coding RNA, 485 nt
Filed under: Salmo salar (Atlantic salmon)
Lineage: Eukaryota; Metazoa; Chordata; Actinopteri; Salmoniformes; Salmonidae
Description: lncRNA (ENSSSAG00000119260.1)
Source: RNAcentral
UACUAGUCAUGCUGGUGUAGUCUAUAGCUGAGCUGGUUAAACUGUAGUAGGGUCCACAUAGAUACUAGUCACGCUGGUGUAGUCUAUAGCUGAGCUGGUUAAACUGUAGUAGGGGUCCACAUAGAUACUAGUCAUGCGGGUGUAGUCUAUAGCUGAGCUGGUUAAACUGUAGUAGGGUCCACAUAGAUACUAGUCAUGCUGGUGUAGUUUAUAGCUGAGCUGGUUAAACUGUAGUAGGGUCCACAUAGAUACUAGUCAUGCUGGUGUAGUCUAUAGCUGAGCUGGUUAAACUGUAGUAGGGUCCACAUAGAUACUAGUCAUGCUGGUGUAGUCUAUAGCUGAGCUGGUUAAACUGUAGUAGGGUCCACAUAGAUACUAGUCAUGCUGGUGUAGUCUAAAGCUGAGCUGGUUAAACUGUAGUAGGGUCCACAUAGAUACUAGUCAUGCUGGUGUCGUCUAUAGCUGAGCUGGUUAAACUGUAGUAG